GAGUUUGAUCCUGGCUCAGAACGAACGCUGGCGGCGUGCCUAACACAUGCAAGUCGAACGUGAUCCAGAGCUUGCUCUGGUGAAAGUGGCGCACGGGUGAGUAACGCGUGGAUAACCUACCCUGGUAUCCGGGAUAACAUUCCGAAAGGGGUGCUAAUACCGGAUAAGCCCACGGGCUCUUUGGAGCUUGCGGGAAAAGGUGGCCUCUAUUUAUAAGCUACUGUAUCAGGAUGGGUCCGCGUACCAUUAGCUAGUUGGCGGUGUAACGGACCACCAAGGCGACGAUGGUUAGCUGGUCUGAGAGGAUGAUCAGCCACACUGGAACUGAGACACGGUCCAGACUCCUACGGGAGGCAGCAGUGGGGAAUUUUGCGCAAUGGGGGAAACCCUGACGCAGCAACGCCGCGUGAGUGAUGAAGGCCUUUGGGUCGUAAAGCUCUGUCAGAGGGGAAGAAAUGAUAUAGUGCUAAUACCACUUCAUCUUGACGGUACCCUCAAAGGAAGCACCGGCUAACUCCGUGCCAGCAGCCGCGGUAAUAC
This 540-nucleotide ribosomal RNA is filed under the name uncultured Geobacteraceae bacterium. RNAcentral's name for it is "bacterial SSU rRNA". It matches the Rfam family "Bacterial small subunit ribosomal RNA", at positions 9 to 526 of the family's 1533-position model. Lineage: Bacteria; Pseudomonadati; Thermodesulfobacteriota; Desulfuromonadia; Geobacterales; Geobacteraceae. The record is from RNAcentral.